This 422-nucleotide ribosomal RNA is filed under the name Tychonema bourrellyi. Its description in RNAcentral is "bacterial SSU rRNA". It matches the Rfam family "Bacterial small subunit ribosomal RNA", at positions 359 to 795 of the family's 1533-position model. The record is from RNAcentral. Lineage: Bacteria; Bacillati; Cyanobacteriota; Cyanophyceae; Oscillatoriales; Microcoleaceae.
GAAUUUUCCGCAAUGGGCGAAAGCCUGACGGAGCAAGACCGCGUGGGGGAAGAAGGCUCUUGGGUUGUAAACUCCUUUUCUCUGGGAAGAACAAAAUGACGGUACCAGAGGAAUCAGCAUCGGCUAACUCCGUGCCAGCAGCCGCGGUAAGACGGAGGAUGCAAGCGUUAUCCGGAAUGAUUGGGCGUAAAGCGUCCGCAGGUGGCAGUUCAAGUCUGCUGUCAAAGACCGGGGCUCAACCUCGGAAAGGCAGUGGAAACUGAACAGCUAGAGUAUGGUAGGGGCAAAGGGAAUUCCUGGUGUAGCGGUGAAAUGCGUAGAGAUCAGGAAGAACAUCGGUGGCGAAGGCGCUUUGCUGGACCAUAACUGACACUCAGGGACGAAAGCUAGGGGAGCGAAUGGGAUUAGAUACCCCAGUAGUC